GAAAUGCGAUAAGUAGUGUGAAUUGCAGAAUUCAGUGAAUCAUCGAAUCUUUGAACGCACAUUGCGCCCCUUGGUAUUCCAUGGGGCAUGCCUGUUCGAGCGUCAUUUGUACCCUCAAGCUUUGCUUGGUGUUGGGCGUCUUGUCCUCUUCUGGAGGACUCGCCUCAAAACAAUUGGCAGCCGGCAUAUUGGUAUCGGAGCGCAGCACAAGUCGCACUUCUAAGGUUGACCUCGGAUCAGGUAGGGAUACCCGCUGAACUUAA
RNAcentral lists this unclassified non-coding RNA (263 nucleotides) under uncultured Pleosporales. RNAcentral describes it as "sequence contains ITS1". The stretch from base 1 to 105 matches the Rfam family "5.8S ribosomal RNA", at positions 50 to 154 of the family's 154-position model. Lineage: Eukaryota; Fungi; Ascomycota; Dothideomycetes; Pleosporales. The record is from RNAcentral.